GCGGAAAUAGCUCAUUUGGUAGAGCAUCAGCUUCCCAAGCUGAGGGUGGCCGGUUCGAGCCCGGUUUUCCGCUCCG
RNAcentral lists this transfer RNA (76 nucleotides) under Chitinophaga lutea. Its description in RNAcentral is "Chitinophaga sp. ZY74 tRNA-Gly". It matches the Rfam family "tRNA". Rfam says of the family: Transfer RNA (tRNA) molecules are approximately 80 nucleotides in length. Their secondary structure includes four short double-helical elements and three loops (D, anti-codon, and T loops). The record is from RNAcentral. Lineage: Bacteria; Pseudomonadati; Bacteroidota; Chitinophagia; Chitinophagales; Chitinophagaceae.